This 446-nucleotide ribosomal RNA is filed under the name uncultured bacterium. Its description in RNAcentral is "bacterial SSU rRNA". It matches the Rfam family "Bacterial small subunit ribosomal RNA", at positions 329 to 792 of the family's 1533-position model. The record is from RNAcentral.
GUCCAGACUCCUACGGGAGGCAGCAGUGGGGAAUAUUGCACAAUGGGGGAAACCCUGAUGCAGCGACGCCGCGUGAGCGAUGAAGUAUUUCGGUAUGUAAAGCUCUAUCAGCAGGGAAGAAAAUGACGGUACCUGACUAAGAAGCCCCGGCUAACUACGUGCCAGCAGCCGCGGUAAUACGUAGGGGACAAGCGUUAUCCGGAUUUACUGGGUGUAAAGGGAGCGUAGACGGCUGUGCAAGCCAGAUGUGAAAGCCCGGGGCUCAACCCCGGGACUGCAUUUGGAACUGUGUGGCUGGAGUGUCGGAGAGGCAGGCGGAAUUCCUAGUGUAGCGGUGAAAUGCGUAGAUAUUAGGAGGAACACCAGUGGCGAAGGCGGCCUGCUGGACGAUGACUGACGUUGAGGCUCGAAAGCGUGGGGAGCAAACAGGAUUAGAUACCCCGGUA